UCCUCGAUAGUCUAGUGGUUAUGAUAUGUCGCUCUCAAGUUAUCACGAUCAGUGAUUACCAGAAGCGUCCGACAAGGUCCGGGUUCGAUUCCCGGUCGGGGAA
Transfer RNA from Tilletiaria anomala, 103 nucleotides. It matches the Rfam family "tRNA". Rfam says of the family: Transfer RNA (tRNA) molecules are approximately 80 nucleotides in length. Their secondary structure includes four short double-helical elements and three loops (D, anti-codon, and T loops). Further hydrogen bonds mediate the characteristic L-shaped molecular structure. tRNAs have two regions of fundamental functional importance: the anti-codon, which is responsible for specific mRNA codon recognition, and the 3' end, to which the tRNAs corresponding amino acid is attached (by aminoacyl-tRNA synthetases). tRNAs cope with the degeneracy of the genetic code in two manners: having more than one tRNA (with a specific anti-codon) for a particular amino acid; and 'wobble' base-pairing, i.e. permitting non-standard base-pairing at the 3rd anti-codon position. The record is from Rfam. Lineage: Eukaryota; Fungi; Basidiomycota; Exobasidiomycetes; Georgefischeriales; Tilletiariaceae.